UACGAAGGGCGCAAACGUUGCUCGGAAUUAUUGGGCGUAAAGCGCACGUAGGCGGCUUGGCAAGUCGGAUGUGAAAUCCCUCGGCUCAACCAAGGAAGUGCAUCCGAAACUGCCGAGCUUGAGUACUUAAGAGGAUCGCGGAAUUCCCGGUGUAGAGGUGAAAUUCGUAGAUAUCGGGAGGAACACCAGUGGCGAAGGCGGCUCACUGGUCCGGUACUGACGCUGAGGUGCGAAAGCGUGGGGAGCAAACAGG
This 253-nucleotide ribosomal RNA is filed under the name uncultured bacterium. Its description in RNAcentral is "partial 16S ribosomal RNA". It matches the Rfam family "Bacterial small subunit ribosomal RNA", at positions 524 to 776 of the family's 1533-position model. The record is from RNAcentral.